This 333-nucleotide ribosomal RNA is filed under the name uncultured bacterium. RNAcentral describes it as "bacterial SSU rRNA". It matches the Rfam family "Bacterial small subunit ribosomal RNA", at positions 466 to 793 of the family's 1533-position model. The record is from RNAcentral.
GAGAUGACGGUACCACUAGAGAAAGCUCCGGCUAACUUCGUGCCAGCAGCCGCGGUAAUACGAGGGGGAGCAAGCGUUAUUCGGAAUUACUGGGCGUAAAGGGCGUGUAGGCGGCAACUUAAGUCGUGUGUUAAAGACCGGUGCAUACCACCGGAGCGGCAUGCGAAACUGGGUUGCUAGAGUGUAAGAGAGAGGAGUGGAAUUCUUGGAGUUAAGGUCGGUAGAAUGCGUAGAUCUCAAGAGGAACACCGAUGGCGAAGGCAGCUCCUUGGCUUACAACUGACGCUGAGACGCGAAAGCGUGGGGAGCAAACAGGAUUAGAUACCCUGGUAG